GAAGCUUGGUCAAAAGCUUGGUUAUUAUCAUUGGAACCAGAAAGUCAGUGAAACCCAAAUGCACAACUUGAACAGAGGUCCUUUCCAGAAGUCAAGUCUUCCAAAACACCCAAAAUGGAACCACCCUCCUGCCAGCACAACUGAUUGGCCAGUUUUGUCACUCAGCCCUUGCACAGUUGUGACCUUUCAUUGACCAGCUGGCAGCUGUAGCCAGCCUUCCCAGGAGGUAAUCAUGAGGAGGUACCAGUGAUAGCCCAGGAAGUACGCUUUAGUAAGAGGAACUUCUUCUUAAUUUUUUUUUAAUGUUUAUUUAUUUUUGAGAGAGACAGAGACAGAAUGCGAGUGGGUUGGGGCAGGGGGAGAGGGAGGCACAGAAUCCGAAGCAGGCCCAAGGCUCCGAGCCGUCAG
This 408-nucleotide long non-coding RNA is filed under the name Felis catus (domestic cat). RNAcentral describes it as "lncRNA (ENSFCAG00000047465.1)". The record is from RNAcentral. Lineage: Eukaryota; Metazoa; Chordata; Mammalia; Carnivora; Felidae.